This 154-nucleotide ribosomal RNA is filed under the name uncultured Chloroflexota bacterium. RNAcentral describes it as "uncultured Chloroflexi bacterium partial 16S ribosomal RNA". It matches the Rfam family "Bacterial small subunit ribosomal RNA", at positions 335 to 504 of the family's 1533-position model. Lineage: Bacteria; Bacillati; Chloroflexota. The record is from RNAcentral.
ACUCCUACGGGAGGCAGCAGCAGGGAAUCUUGGGCAAUGGGCGAAAGCCUGACCCAGCCNACGUCGCGUGGAGNAAGAAGGCCUUAGGGCUGUAAACUCCUUUUCUGAGGGAAGAGUAAGGACGGNACCUUGGGAAUAAGCACCGGCUAACUCC